GAUGAUAGAGGCGCGAAGACCAUCAGUAGCCCCGCCGAGGCGCUCAAACGCCGGCGACGCGGGAGGAAAGGGAGCUUCGCCGAAAUGGGACGCCGUUUGGGAGGCGGACUGUUGGGCGGCUGGAGAACAUCCAGCCGACUGUCACGUUGCGUGGAGUGCUAUCG
This 164-nucleotide non-coding RNA is filed under the name uncultured Intestinimonas sp. RNAcentral's name for it is "Lysine riboswitch". It matches the Rfam family "Lysine riboswitch aptamer". From Rfam's summary of the family: Riboswitches are metabolite binding domains within certain messenger RNAs that serve as precision sensors for their corresponding targets. Allosteric rearrangement of mRNA structure is mediated by ligand binding, and this results in modulation of gene expression. Lineage: Bacteria; Bacillati; Bacillota; Clostridia; Eubacteriales. The record is from RNAcentral.